RNAcentral lists this long non-coding RNA (15553 nucleotides) under Medicago truncatula (barrel medic). RNAcentral describes it as "long non-coding RNA (MTRU_LNC002227)". The record is from RNAcentral. Lineage: Eukaryota; Viridiplantae; Streptophyta; Magnoliopsida; Fabales; Fabaceae.
GAGACGUCUUCACAGGUACGGGAGGAGAUGCCACCGGUGAGUCAGCGGAGGGAGAGAUCGCAGGUGUGGCAACGGGUGAUAUGGUUGGAGAUGAUGAAGGAGAUUGAGCAAUGGUGGAACUAACAAAUAGUGUAGCCACAAGCAUCAACACAACUUUAUAGGAAGCCAUUGUUGAAAAUUGAAGAAGGAGAAUGAAAUUUUAGGAUUUAUAAGAAGUUUUGAAGUAGUGAGUAGAAGAAUUGAGAGAGUAGAUUGUUUGUGACUGUUCUGGAAAAGUGAUUAGGCAUGGAAGGGUAUUUAAAGAAGCUUAACCGCGUGAAUACGCGUUUCUACGCUAAGUCUUAUACGACGCGGUGAUUUUUUUUAUCCGUUACAAUUGUUUUUUCUAGGGGGAUGAAUUGCUGUAUCUUUUUUUUGUUUUUGAGAUUAUAUGAAAUUGUUGUAUGGAUGCAUAAAUAUGCAAGGUCCGGAGAUCAAACCUCGACCACCACCAAAAAAUGAAAUAAUUCUUAAUCAUCGUCGUAUGGAGCUGUAAUAUUGGUAUAUCAUUAUGUAUCAAAUCGGUAAUACAUAACAAUAUAAAGACAUGAGAGCUAACUCGAGACGUGGUUAUUUGAAGUAAAACAUGAGCGGCCUUAUUUGUCUGUCUUAAAUAAACUCGACACGAGAGCUUUUCAAAAAAAUAAAUUACAAUAGUGUAUACAAACCCGCAUAACAACCUCAAAUUCUAUGAUAUCUUUGUCGUCUCUCUCAAAGUAGUCAACAACUUUUUACAAAACAACCUUGAAGUCAACAUUCGCUCAACGUAGAUCAUUGAUCUACAUAAUAAUAACAUGAUACAGUCCUAGUGCCUCUUCUACUUCCACUCAACAUACAAGCACGAACAUCGUCACAAUACACAAACCAAUAUCUACUCUAUUACGGGAGACCGAGAAAGACGAGUCAACAUUGCAUUUAAACCUCCUAAAUGUCGGAUGUUUCCACCCUUACAACGAAGAUGAUACAAGGUGUUAUUGCAUCCCUUGCGCAUGAAUGGUUGAGGUGAACAUAACAUACAACAUUAUUCCCUUGCUUCUAAUUUGCCAACCUCCAGUGGUCGAGCAUAUGUACUGCUCGCUCUAAAAUUUGGUUGCUCGACUCCACCACAUGUUGCCAAAGCCUCAUGGUUCGGUUUUUCUAAAUGCUCCAUAAUAUUAUAACAAGGAGCUCCACUUGAUUUUCACUUGGACGCAGCAAUAGAGUGAAUAAAAUUUCAUCUGUUAUUAAGCAAAAUGAUUAAAGCAAGGUGGCAACUAGGCUACCCAUGAAAGAAUGAUGGAUAAUUUACCCCAACCAAUACACAUUAGCCACAUAAGCACAUAUUCAUGAACUAUCUUGACCCCACAAAUAAAUUGCUCAUUUUCAUUGGUUGGUGGAUAAAUUACCCACCAUUCUUCAAAGGUAAUUUAGAAAAAACCUUAAAGCAAUGAUAAGAAGGGCCUCAUGAGUUCGUACAAUAGUACCCAGCAGGUGAUAUUGUAUGCUAUAUCUUGUAUCUUCAGCGAUGCAUAUCUUCAAUUUCAUGAUGUAGCUUCUUAGAUCUCCAUUACAAUUCCUCACAUUGUUCCAUCAAACAUCUAAAACUAACAUUACUAGUUCAAAAUGAUUAAAUAACAUUAAAAAUUAGUUAAAACCAUAAAUUUUAAAUAGUCCGAUUGAAUGCUUUAGACCAUAGAUUCACUCAAUUCCCCAUUCAUUAUGUUCAUUAUGGGGACAAAGGCAACAUGAUAACCUACAAAAUUGCCGGUUAUCAGUGUUAUUAUUUGUUUGAAUUCACAACGAUUUUCAUACUAAACAUUCAUAGUUUCUUUAUAGGCCACCUUCCUUACUAGUAAGCCGAGCUUGAUCACAUCAUUUAAAACGGGAAAAGAAAUUUGAGUGUUAAAGUAAUACUAGUAGGCAUGGAAGAGAAUAUACAUCACUAAAGAAAUCUAUAACAUGACUUUGCAGAUGAAUCUCAUCAUAGAUUUACUUCUUGUUAUGAUUAUUGAAUUCGUAUCGCCAAGAUCAAUCGAUAUGCUACGAGCUUGUAAACCUCCUCAUAACGAGUAAUAUUGUUAUACUUUUUUCAAAGAUGGUCUCUAAGUAGGUAGAGUCUCUCAUUUGAAGAAGAAAGAAACGUAAUAUCAUAUACACAUGGAAUAUUUAAAAAGUAGCUAUUUUCUUAAUUUUUCCAUAAUGAAAUUUACUUUAUUUGAUAACUUGGAUUAAAAUGUUCAUUCAGGAGAGGCAGAGAUUGUGAUUGCAAGCAGCAUUGGUGAAAGUGCAUCAAAACAUGUUGUUCAUGGUGCAUAACUAACAGUAGAAUUCACACACAAGGGGUACUGCAAUUUUAUCAUUACCAUUAACAUUUGCCACUAAUUUUGGUUCUUUGACACUUCACCAAUUCUUCAAGUGAUAUGUUAUUAGUUUUUGACAUUGUUGUUAAAAUCCCUACUUAAAUCCUAAAAUUUAGUUACGACUUUUUUCACCUUCAACGACUCAAAUCCAUAGUAGAACCCAAAAUAGGCAUAAUUCAUCGAUUUUGAUUGCGAUUUUACGAUUUCUUAUAAAUUAAGUCAUUUAUGACUCUAUACCAUUUAUAUCAUAUAUUUAGUAUUAUUAUAUUUUGAUUGUGAUUUUACGAUUUCUUUAUAUCGAUUCUACAAAAGUAGUUGAGUAAAAUCCUUCGAUUUUGAUUGCGAUUUUACGAUUGUCGAUUUAGCUCUUCUCUUUCGUCCUGAAGCAAAACUCUAAUUUUGACAACCUUAAUUUUUGGUUUCUUCUGGUCAUUGAAACACACACAAGUUGAAAAAGUCACUAACAACACUCAGUAUUUAGAAUCAUUCGAACUUUAACCAGUAAUUGACAAGAUUGUGAAUAAAGAAAUAUCAAAUAACUGAUUCCAAAAUAAAAUUACCUUUGUUGUGUGUCAUCGUUUGUUUGUAUUACUAUUGAAAUAUGAUGCACAUUUCUAGAUAUUUGUAGAAUACAUUAGCAAUUUAUAUAAUGAUGAUCAUGUCUAGAUUUUUUUAUAGCUUAGUAGUUCGUAGAAAAAACCUAUUCUACAUUUUUCAAAAUAGUUUUGUAGAAGUUCACGAAAGUUCUAGAAUGUAGUAUCUAGAAUAUGCCUACUAUAAAUAGACAAACUAAUGUACAAUGGUAUUCAAGGCGGAGAUGCAAUAACAAUAAUUUUGAGGGCCACCACCAGACUAAAUAUCCCAUCAUAUAAUAAGUUGAUUGCUAGUGUGUUGCCUUUUAUCUUAUGUUACUAACCCACUACUAAAUAUCCCUAACAAUUUAUAAAUAGACAAACUUAUGUACAUUUGUAUUUUGAGCUGCAAUAACGAUAAUAUUGAGGCUUCACCACACCGUAUACCUCCUCAUACAUUAAGCUAAUCACUAGUAUCUUGCCUCUUAAGUCUUGACCCAUAUUAAUUGCUAAACUUAUGUACAUUUCGUAUACUAUAUUUUUCUAACAAUUAAGCAUUAGUGUUUUCUAACAAUUAUGGUGCUUGUGCUGUUUUUUUUUUUAAAUCAGGUAUCCUCCGCGCGCAACUGCGGAGACUAAGCUAGUAGAGACCUGUUCCAUCUUAUCUAAGCGCUCUUGGGUAUGCGUGUGCUAUUAUGUACGAAAGAAAUUAACAAAAAAACAAAAAACAAAAAAUUAUGUUCCUUGCUUAGUUUUCAAUUCUGGUUCCCUUCAAAUACAUACACUAAUUUAAAUAUUUUUUUGCACAAGUACACUAAUUCAAAUAUUAAUUUAUCCCUAAUAAAAGAAAACCGAGGCAGAUUUUUUUACGGCCACCGUGUGAGAAAGGGAAUCAAACAAUAGUAUAACCAAGAUAAGACCAGAAAAUAAUUGCAAGCAAAUAAAAAGAGUUGAAAAGCUUAAAAAGAGUUGACUAUCCAUGUAAAUACAUGAUUAAAAAAGAACAAAAUACAUAAAAUAAAAUAAAAACUCAAUGUAACUCUCUACAUCAAUAUCAAAGCCGCAAUAAAAACGACAGCAGCAGCAUAUCCGGCAACGUUGAAUCCAUUCAUAGUGGCACCGUUUGUGGGCGUUGAUGGUGCUUUAGUUGGAGGAGUAGAGAUCGACGAUGGUGCUUUAGUUGGAGGAGUAGAGAUUGACGAUGGAGUAAUAGCAGGAGCGGCAGCAGGGGAGGCGUGAGGAGGAGGAGAUGGUGGAGAGUUGAUGGCGGACGGUGAAGGAGAAGGACUGCUCGUUACAGGUACGGGAGAAGAUGCCACCGGUGAGUUAGCGCUGGUGGAGGGAGCAAUCGCAGGUGAUGGUGCUUGAGAUGGAGGAGUUGAGAUCGACAAUGGAGUAACUGCAGGAGCGGCAACAGGAGAAGCAGGAGAACCAAAGGAAGCAGGAGGAGGAGAUGUUGGAUAGUUAACUGCGAACGGUGAAGGAGAUGGAGCGUUCAUCAAAGGAACGGGAGAAGAUACCGCCGGUGAGAUAGCCAAGGGAGAUCCCGCAGGAGAUGGAGUGGCAACAGGAGAUGAUGAUAGAGAUCGUGCAAAGGUAGAACUAACCAAUAGUGAGGCCACAAGCAUCAACACAACCAUGUAGGAAGCCAUAGUAGAAAUUUGAUGAAGGACGAUGAAGUUUCUGAAGCAGCGUUGAGCGAGUAGGAUUAGGGUUUGGAACUGUGGUGAAAAAGGACAAGGGUUGAAGGAUAUAUUUAUAGAAGCCUAACCGCGUAAAUAUGCUUUUUCAUAGGGUAAGUUGUUUUUUGUGAGGGAUCAUAGGGUGAGUUGUUACUGACUGGUUGUUGAUCUUUUUUAUUAUUAUCUUUUUAUGUUUUUUGGUCAAGAUUAUUGAUUUAUUUUUUGUCGAAUAGUCUAGUUGUUGCAGCUCACAUAAUAUAAAUGUAGAGAAAUGGGGUGUCAGGGUUCGAACUUCUGCCCCUGCAUAAAUUAUUCUUAUUUUAAUAUAAUUUAAUUUAUUUUCAAUUGAUAAUUUAAAUAAUAUUAUAAAAAGGAUAAAUUAGUUUAAAGGGUAAAAAUAGAAGAAAAAAGUCUAGCUCAAAAUGGUGUAUGCCAAUUAUAUAGUGUUAUUUUUUGUUUGUAAGAGUCUUUUAUAUAGUGUUAUACAUAGAUGUUUGUGGCUUACCAAUUGUAACAAACUACGUUAUUUUUAACCAACAAUAUAACAAAUAUAAUAUUAUAAUUUGAUAAAAAAAUAUUAUAUAAAUUCUUCACUUUUUCAGUAACACCAACAAUAUAAAAUAUUUAUAAACAAAUUCAUUUAAGAGUAUAAUUCUAAUUAUAACAAACUCUAUAUGUUUACUUGUCAAAAAAAGAAACUCUAUAUGUUUAUACUUUACCAACAAUAUAAUAAAUAUAUCCAAUCUUAUUAAUCUCCAAUUUACGAGCCCAUUUGUUACAAUUUUAAAAAAAUCAUUUUUUAUAAAAAAUAAUAAUAAUCACUAAUAUCCUUCCAAAAUAAUAGAAUUUAGAAAAAAAACAACUUCAAAGUUUUUUUUUUUAGGGAAAAAUUCAAAGUUGUUAUGUAGCUUAUGAGAAAAUAUAUUUUUUCCUUGAAAGAAAAGAUUUUUUUAUUUUUUUUUUUACCAAGCAAAAAUGUAAUAUAUUAACAUUGACAAAGUAGUCUCCUUAGCACAAGGCGUACCAAAAAAAUCACUAGAUAGAACUAAUUUUACAUCAAAAAAUAUUUUUUAUAUAGUUGUAUUCAAACAUACUGAAUUUUUUUCUUCUUAAGUGAUUUUUAUUUUGGUAAAUAAACGCAAAAUAGAUUCUGAUUUUUUAUAAAAUCUCUAAAAAUAAUCUCUAAAACUCAAAAUAAUUGUAAUUUUAAUUUGUAACAUACAUACCUUAUACCAAUUAAUCAACAUUGUGGUCUAUUUGGUUGGUUGCAACUAGGGAUGAAAAUAGGUCAGGUCGGUCUACGGCCUAACCUACGACAAGUCAAACCAUACUUUUUUCUUAAAUAGAGAUUGCAUAGACUUUUUUAGAAGCCUGAUUAAAUUAAAAGGUCAGACCACAUGUCAUUCAAAAAGCCCUUAAGCUUGUUAGACCGAUCUAUUUAAGUAAACAUGAAUAGUAUUAUUUAUUAUUAUAUUAUAUUUUUCACUUUGAAUUAAAAUAUAAAUUUGUUAUCUUUUUUCAAUAAUUUAAGCUUAUUAUAUACAUUAGUCUUUUGCAUAUAUAUAAAGGUAUUAUUAUAAACUAGAAUUGAAGUAAGAUACAAUUUAUUGUGAAAUGCCUUAAAACCUCAUGUUGAUUAUCAAAGAAGAGUUUAACCUAAUUGAUCUAUUUGUUCACUAGUUUAUUUAAACUUGCAUCACAUUGCUUAUUUAAAAAUGUUCAUAAGAUAUAGGCUUUUAAACAGGUUAUCAGGUCGUAUCAGGUUUUCAUAAGGUCAGGCUCAGGCCUAAAAUGUAAGCCUUUUACUAGCCGCAAGCCAAGCUUAUAGGCUUUAAAAAAAAUUGGUAGGUUAGACCUAGGCCUUGCAAAGUCUAGCUCGGUCUAGCCUUUCUAGGUACAACAUAUGGAAAUAGGAAAAUAAGCCAUGCUCAAUCAAUUACAAUAAUUAAUUUUCAUAAAAAUAAAAAUAAAAUAAAAUAAAAAAAAGACUAAGGAUCUUUGAGGGAGAGUGUACUAGCUCUAAUGAAAGAAAUGACCAAACAAAACUAAAAUUAAUUUUCCUUUUGUUUGUUCGAUUUUCAAUUCUGGUUUCCUUCAAUUGAUCUGAUUUGUCCAUCAUAAUCAGAAAAACAUUGACAGAGUAUGAACGAAGGUGAUGAUGGCAAUAAUAAUCGAAUAUAAAAAUAAUUGCAAGCAAAUAGCAUAAAUAGAUUUUUUUUUUUUUUUUUUGAAACAAGCAUAAAUAGAUUCAUGUAAAUUCAUAAAAAAUAACUGCAAGCAAAUAGCAUAAAUAGAUUCAUGUAAAUUCAUAAAAUAAAAAUAAAAAAUAAAAUAAAAUAAAAAACACAACAAUAAGAGUCAGGAAUAUGUAAAUUUGUGAUUACAAAAAAGUCAAAAAAAGAAACAUCUCAGCGUCUACCCUAACAAAAAAAACUCAGCCAAGUCUAUAUCAUCAAAACAGCAGCGAAAACCACAACAGCAGCAGAUCCGGCAACAGUGAAUCUGUUGAAAGCGGCGCCGUUUGUGGAUGUUGAUGGUGAUUUAGAUGGAGGGGUAGAGAUAGACGUUGGAGUAAUAGCAGGAGGAGGAGAUGGUGGAGAGUUGUUGGUGGACGGUGAUGGAGAAGGAAUGCUCUUCGCAGGCACGGGAGCAGAUGCCGCCGUUGAGUUAGCGGAGGGAGAAAUCGCUGGUGAUGGUGCUUGAGAUGGAGGAGUAGAGAUCGACGAUGGAGUCACAGCAGGAGCGGCAACGGGAGAAGCAGCGGCAGCUGGAGAACCAGGAGCGGCAGCGGGAGGAGCAGAUGCUGGUGAGUUGAUGGCGAACGGUGAAGGAGAUGAAGCACCAGGAAGAGGAGCAGAUGCCACUGGUGAGUUAGCGGAGGGAGAAAUUAUUGGUGAUGGAAACGGAGAAAACAUGGGCGAUGAUGAUGGUGGUGAUCGAGCAACUGUGGAAUCCAGCAGCAGUGCAACCAAAAGCAUCAGCACAACGGUGUAGGAAGCCAUAGUAGAAAGAUGAAGAAGGAGAAUGGGAAUAUUAGGGUUUGAAGCAGUGAUAUUGUGUUGUGAAGAAAAUAUUAGGGCUGCAAAGGUUAUUUAUAUAAGCUUAAACGCUUCUUCCCGUUUCUAGGUUAAGUCGUUAUGACUUAUGAGUCGGUGAUUUUUUUUUUUGUUUUUUUGAAUAAUACAAUUUUUUUUUACAAUUUUUUUUAAAUUACUGUUGUAUUUAUCUUUUUCUUUUUGAUCAAAAUAAAGUUAACUAUCAUUAAUCAACUAAUGUGCAAUACAAGAAGGAUAAGAGUUAAAAAUGCGGUGACUAGCCCAAGAACAGACCGCCCUAGCUAAAGUAUGAGCAACCAUGUUCGAUUGUCUCCUAACAAACUUCACCUCGAAGUUGGAAUGUAAAGAUAACUGAUAAAUAAUACUAGAAACAAUAGCAUAGAAUUCUGAAUCACCAUGGCCCAGAGACGAAAGAGCUUGCACUAAAGUAGCAGAGUCAGACUCGAAGACAACCCGGUCCCAUCUGUUCACAUAAGCAAAGUGAAUAGCAUCGAGUAAGGCUACUGCCUCCCCCUCCAAAACUGUCAUAUUUGCCCGUUUCCAUUUCGUUUGUGCCCGAAUAAAUUUCCCUCGGGAGUCUCUAACACAACAUGCAGAGGAUGUAAGACGAUUACGGUCAUGGAACGCGGCAUCCACAUUGCACUUCAACCAUGUCUCGCUCGGUUUCUCCCAAACUAAGUUGUUACGUACCUUGCACCCUAUUCCGGUCAUGUUGCACAACCGGUAGUGAGGGAUGUUUAUGAACCUCAUGCCAUUGCUGCCAUGCAUCCAGAGCUGUCCUUCCAAUGCUUGUUGAAGGUAUAAUGAGCGUCCUUCCAAAUGACAUCAUUACAUGCAGCCCAAAUUUUCCAAAGAAGUAAAGCCACACGACCAGCAAUGUCUCGGCUUUCUGAACAACAUAUGUCAAAAACAAAAUUUGUCAAACUACUCUCAGUUCCAACUCGCGUUUGCAACACAGUCGAAAGUCCUGUCCAAUACCAACUUUCACUCGCCACCGUACAGCCCACAAAAGCAUGCCAAUCAUCCUCAACAUCCGUAUCACACCAGGGGCAGUUCAAUGUGUAACAACUCCAUCAUAGCUAGUUUGUCCCGACGACUCCCAUAUCUAACGACGAUGAGAAAUUGAAUCUCAUCACCGUCUUCAACGGGUUUGGGUAUCCAUACAGUGAAUCAUUUUUUUGAAUAAAAAAUUCAAGUUUUUUCCAGUCCCGGGAAUAAUGUUAUAAUGUAUUAUGCAGUAAUAUGCUCACUUUAACAUUUUUUUAUCGAAUAAUUUGGUUGCUCUUAUAAAUAUCAAUGGCAGGUUUUAUAACAUGACAAAUAUCAAUGAGUAAUAAAGUAAUUUCUACAUUCAUGAUAGGUUUGUGUAUGAGUUCGAGAUGAGUACAUAUAUCUUUGUUAUUAGUCUCGUACCCGUGUUUUAAAAUCGAGGAAAAUCCAAACACAUACCCAAACUAGUCAAAACGGAGAAACACAUCAAAUCGAGGUGGGUUCAGCCAAAUAACCGUGAAUACCGGUUUUACUAUCAUGCCUAAAUAAAAUGGAUAUAUAUUCUAACAAAUUAUACUGUCAAAACAUAAAAUAGAAACAGAAAGUGUACUAAAAAAGAAUUAAAAAGGAGCAUAUAGUGUAAUAGUUAGAGCAUCCACAAAGGAGAUCCUCAACUCCGAGCUCUUAAAUAGGUCCCACGGACGCAUCACUUUUUAAUAAUUUUUUAAUAAUAGCAUUUAAUAGGUACUCAACCACUCCAAUGGAGAUCCUUUAACAAAAGGUCUAAUANGGUCCCACAAAUAUUAUUUAAUUGCCAUGAAAAUUAUUAUUUUAAUAAAAAAUGAUGUGGAUCCAUUUAAGAAUGGGGCUUAAUAGUUAGACCUUGAAUCUUUUAAGACCCCCAAGUUUUUUUUCCCACAAUAAGGGUACCUAUUAGGUACCAGAUCUUAAAUGGUGAAGACCUCACCAUUGUGGAUGCUCUUAGUAAUCCUCAGUAAAAAAUAAAAUAAAAAGUAAAUCCUUCCCUCAAAUAAAAUAUCAAUUAAUUAGCAAUCCUGGUUGUAUCCGGAGUAAAUAAAAUAUUCAAUCAGAAAACGCAUAUGACCAUUACAAAAAAAAAAAAAGGAAAAGAAAUUUGAACUAGAAAGAUGAAAUUAAAUAUAUUAAUAUAAAACGCAUAUGACUGUUACAAAAAAUAAAAGGAAAAAAAUUUGAACUAGAAAAAGGAAAUACAAUAUACUAUUCGGGUAAUAUUUUAUUAUUUAUUUAUAAAAUUGUGACAACGUCUUCGUGAGCUUAACUCAAUUGACAUGAAUAAUGCAAAAAAAAAAACAAAACUAUCGUAACAUUUUCAGAACAUUCUUUGACCUCACAAAUACGAGACAGUUGAAUGUCAACCCAAUACAACCAUUAAAGUGAUCUUGGUACAAGAAUAUGGUAUUAAAAGAAAUCACUAAGUCACAAGGAUGAAUUCCUUAAAAAAAAAAAAAGUCACAAGGAUGAAUGAAGAUUAAAUGAAAACUUUAAAUAUGUUCAUAAAAUGAAUUCUAUAAAAAGAGAGUUAAGAUCUUAUCCAUUUGUCAUUUCCAUCUCUAUCAUUUGGAGAGAUAAUCUUUAUCAUUUGAAGAGAUAAAGAUACAAAAAUAGAUGAAUUCAUCAAAAUAUACAAAAGGAACGGUUUCUUUUUUUGAAAUAUACAAAAGGAACCUAUUGAAUGACAUAUAACAUAUAAAAAGAAUAUAUUUAAUGGUUGACUUAAAUAUGUAUUUGAACCUUGCAAUUAGGGGUCGUUUAAAAAUUGGUCCCUGUAAUCGCUAAUCCUGGCAAUUUACCCUUGCAUUGUUUAAUCAUUUAAAAUUUCGUCGCUCUCCCCACUUAAUCACUGCCGAGCCACAUGAAAUUCUAAUUUUACCCCUGGGUUUCCAAUUCUUUCUUCAUUAUUUUGUCCUCUUCUUAAGGGCAAAAUUGGAAUUUCAUGUGUGGCAGUGAUUGCCACGUCAUCAAAUUAGUGACGUGGCAAUGAUUAAAUUGGUCAAAGGACGAAAUUUAAAAUGAUUAAUGAUUGCAAGACUAGUUUGCAAGGAUUAGCGAUUACAGGGACCAAUUUUUAAACGACCCCUAAUUGCAAGGAUCAAAUACAUAUUUAAUAUUGGCUCCACCAAAAUGUGAGUAACACUAACAAGCUUGGACAUAUGAGAAGAUGACAACACAUGUGUGAGAGAGAGAGAGAGUUUGAGGUACCACAAGUAUUAAAAAGCUAAUGACAAAAGUGUUCCUAUUACAUGAUACUAAAAGACAAAGUGUGUCUUUAAUACAACUCAACUUGAUUUGUUUUCUGCCAAAUCUCCACAAAAAUAUGCAUGGUACUGUUCAUAAAAUAUAUGAGAUGACAUCACAAAAACGCAUAUGUUUAUUAGUUGUCCUUACCUUAAAAAAGAAAAAUGAUAUCGGUAGAACUACUUUGUGACAACUUUCUCUCACAUACUCAGAUUAUAUUCUUAUUCUCUCUUUUCUUUUUUUUCUCUCCAUUAUUUUUGAGCAAUAAAAAUAGAGAAAAAAGAGGUUAUCUCAAAAGUUGUUUCAAAUAGAUGUUCAAAUAUCAUUACUCCUAAAAAAAAAUGUUUAUUAGGUCCUAUAUACAUCAGCUGAGAACGUUAUCAACACUGCAAGAACAUUUUGACAAAAGGCUUCAACAAGAGUGAAGUACUCUAAUGUGUUGGUAACUUUUCCUUCCCACCUUUGCCUCUAGAAACUCCUGUUAUUUACCACAUCAAGGAUGGUCCUCAUCUAUAAAUGUUCAACAAGGACAAAGAGCAUAAGUCUUGAGCAUAAUCAUACUCUCUUGAUAUUUGUCAAUCAUCAAGAAACAUCAAAGACUCCUUUGUUUUUAUCAUCUACAUCAUUCAAGCUCAUGCAUAGAAAUCAAACAUCUUUAAAGGCAGCAACUUAUUUUACACUAGUUUUUUAAGUGAGUAAGAAACAUGUCAAAACAUUCAUCAAUUUUAAAAUUGCUCUAGUUACUCAUUGAAAGCGUAAUUAAGAAGUGUAAAGGCAAGGUUGCCAAAUCAAGGUUGUAAAGUCGAAGUGGUUAAAAGGAAAUUGAGUGUAAAGAUCCUAGGGUGAUCUAAGAAAAUGCAUAGAGAUAGUAUUAAAUCUUAAGUGCAUGGUGGAAAAUAUCACAAUAUUGUGUGGACUAAAGUAGCCUACAUUGGAUAAACCAAUAUAACUUUAUGUGUGUGAUUCUCUAAUUAACUCGCCUCAUUUAAAUUUCCAAUUUACACUUGCUAUAGUUAUUAAAUGUUGUUUCUUACUAAGUAAGUAAUCAAAUAAAAGUUAUCAGUUUAGAAGUUUUAUUGCAAAUUUUUUGAAUGGAUCACAAUCCAAAAUCCCAUUUUACUUCAGAAAGAAUCACGUUCACAACUUAUGUAAUGAAGGAUAUGAGAUCUUAGUGCUCUUUAAAAUGGUACACAUUGGAUAGGAGGAUCAAAUUAUACAUAUCAUCGAAUUCAAAUACACAAAAGUAAAAGAAGCAUUGAAAAGGAUGAGUAAUGAUUAGGAAGUUGGACCAAAUAACAUAUCUAUUGAACUAUGAAAAAGUCUUGACGAUAAAAGCAAGGGGUGGCUCACCAAAUAUUUUAACAAAAUUAUGAGGUUAAAGAAAAUGUUAGACGAGUAGAGUAUAACAACUUAAUUUAAUUCCAAUCUAUAAGAGCAAUGGAGGAUAUAUAAAAUUGUACAACUUAUAGAGAGGCCAAACUUAUGAGUCACACCAUGAAGUUAUGGAAAAGAAUGAUUGAGAGAAGAAAGAAACUCAAUUUAGUAAUAACUAAUUUGUAUUUACGUCUGGAAGCUUAAGGUCCACCAUAUAUGGAACCAAUCUACUUAAUUACUAUGAUGAGUGAUGGAGCAAUAUAUGAUCAAUUAAAAAGACUUGCGCUUAAUUUUCACUAAUUUAGAGAAGAAUGAUGGUACAACGCCUAGAGAUAUUUUAAGGAAAGCCCUAAAGACGAAAGGGGGUUAGGUUGCUUAAUCUAAGAAGUCAAAUAUAUGUACAAGGGGUUCUUGACCAGCGAGAGAACGUAUAUAAGUUGGGGCCACUAACAAUUUUCCUAAAAGAAUAGCAUUUCACUAAGGAUGAAAUCAAAGUCAUUAUAUUUUUACUUAAGUUUUUUAUGUACUUAUGAUACACAUCCAAGAGUUAGCGCCGAGAUGUAUACUUUUUAUUGAUGAUAUAAUCUUACUUCGAGAGUUGGUGGAGAAAGUAAAUGAGAUUGGAGACAAGCCUUAGAAGUGUAUGACUUUCCCCUCAGUAGAAGUAAGACAAAAUAUAUAUGCAAUGUAGAUUUAGCAAAAGGCCAAUCAUUCCUAGCAUAGAGAUGAAAGAAGAACAUAUGAUACCAUAAGUUACAUGAUUUAGAUAUCUUGGAUCCACCAUAUAAAACAAAGGAUAAUUAUAAGUAGAUGUAAACCAUCGAAUUCAAGGUGGAUGGUUAAUUUAUCGAUUAACUAUAUCAUAGUCAAUGGUGUAUUGAACAGGGUGUUGGGAUGAAAAGAACCAAAAUUAAAUAAAUUAAGUGCAGUAGAUGUGAAGAUGUCGACUUUCACUAUUAGAAAAAUCAGAAAUGGUUCCCCGUGAGCUUAACUCAGUUGGUAGGGAUAUUGCAUAUUUUAUGCAGGAGCCGGGGUUCGAACAUCGGACACUCCACUUCUCCACAAUUAAAUUGUGUGAACUCUAGCCACUAGACUACUUGACAAAAAAAAAUUGGAAAUGGAGAGGGACCAAUUUCAUCGUUAUAUUGCGAAAUUUCCAUCUCUACAUACUUUAGAAACAAAUUUGGGGACGAAACUGAAUAUGUCUUAGAGACGUAUUGUCUUACCACACAUACUUUACAGACAUAUUGCCUUACCAAAGGAACACUUAAAUUUUGUAAACAUCUAGGGUUGAAAAUAUGCAAACCAGUCGGCAAUUCUUUAACAAUGCAAAAAGGUAGCUACAUUCAAGGCCUCAACCUUAAAAAGGUAACUUGAUGCUAAUUUUUUUUUCAACUUGUACUUCAUUGAAUUAAAGGAUGAUGAGGUUCAACAACAGGAAGCUCCAACUUCUACAAUUUUCACGUUUUCUUCUUGGUUUGAACUAACAUCCCUCAUUAUUGCCAUGAUGAGAGGUUGCACCUACUAAUUUAAAUUAACCAAGAAAACAAUUUGACCAUUCCUUGACAAGUGAUAUUUUGCAGUGGCUUACCCCCUUCAACAUUGGAAGUUUCCAAUGCUUCUUAAGGAAGUGACAUACUUCCACUAAGGCUUGAAAUUGUUGACAUGAUUUCAUGAUUUCACGACAUAACCGAAACCACUGGAGGUUGACAUUGCAACGGUGCUCACAACUUUGGACACGCCAAAAGUAAGUUACUUGUCGUGUUAGAAGUACAUGAAUUGCUAAAUUUUUCACAACAGCAUGCACGCGUAUGAAAAUAAUCAUCACCACAAGAAAAAGGUUACACACGUAAGUUACAAUAGCUCGUUCGACCGGGCCUUCCAAAUUGUCUACUGUGAUCUUUUUUGUUACAAUAUAAGCAAAUUAACUUUUUAUAUUCAUAUAUUUAACGAUAUAUGUUGUUCAUAUACCACAUACAUCAUUAAAUGAAUGAACUUAAAAAGUCAAUUUUAUUUAUAUUUAGAAAUGGAGGAAGUAAUUAUGAACUGCGUCAAACCGACCAUAAAUAAAUGUUUAAUCAAUGUGAUCAUGGGUGUGUUUUAUAAAGUGUUUUGAAAAAAAGAAGGUGUAUUUUGUUGAGUUGACUUUUAAACAUACGUAUGUGACCUUAUUGACAAAAAAAUGUAUGUUGUCAUUAGUUUGCAAAACAACUCCCGCACUACUUAAAAUUUAUGGGUAUGUGUUUGAUUGAUUUUCCCAAGUCAAUUACAUGGUAUUGGUACCAUGAAAUGCUCAAUCAAUUAAAAUAAUUAAUUUUCAUAAAAAUAAAGUUAACAUCUUGUUGAGGGAGAGUGUAUUGCUCUGUUUCAUGAAAGAAAUCACCAAACAACUAAAAUUUCUCCUUGUUCGGCUUUCAAUUUCUGAUUCCCAUUAAAUACAUAAUUUGUCCAUAAUAUCCCGAAGAAAAUUGAUGGAAUUUAUUUAUUUUUCCUUUCCUACUACUAAUUUUUGUUGUUGUUGUUGAAAGAUACACAAUUCAUUCAAAUGAAAACGAUGAUCGACAAUAAGAUAAAUAAUAAUUGCAAGGAAGUAGUAACGUUGAAAAGAAGAAGAAGAAAAAAUGUGUCACUGAUUAAUUAAAGUAAUAAAUAGAUUACAGAAAAUAAUCGAAUGAAUAAAUCGUCGUCGCACAGAUCGAAACAGAGAAACAACAAAAAGGUACAUAGUAGUUCUCACGAUCCAUGUAAAUUCGUGAUGUAAAAAAAACAAAAUAAAAUAAAAUAAAAUAAAACUCGAGUAACUCUCUAUAGUAUCAAAGCGGCGGCGAAAACCACUACAGCAGCAGAUCCGGCAACGGUAAAUCUGUUCAAAGCGGCACCGUUUUCGGAAGGUCCUUCGGAAGGAGGAGUGGAAAUGGAUGAUGGAGUAAGAGCAGGAGAGACAGCGGGAGAGUCGGAUGAAGCAGGAGGAGGAGAUGGUGGAGAGUUGAUGGCUGAAGGUGAAGGAGAUGGAGCGUUCUUCACAGGUAUGGGAGCAGAUGCCGCCGGUGAGUCAGCGGAGGGAGAGAUCGCAGGUGUGGCAACAGGGGAUAUGGUGGGAGAUGAAGAUGGAGAUUGAGCGAAGGUAGAACUAACCAAUAGUGUAGCCACAAGCAUCAAAACAACUGUGUAUGAAGCCAUUGUAAAAAUUUGAUGAAGGAGAAUAAAAAAUUAGGGUUUAUAAG